AACGAACGCUGGCGGCAGGCCUAACACAUGCAAGUCGAGCGAGGACUUCGGUCCUAGCGGCGGACGGGUGAGUAACGCGUGGGAACGUGCCCUUUGCUUCGGAAUAGCCCUGGGAAACUGGGAGUAAUACCGGAUGAGCCCUUUGGGGGAAAGAUUUAUCGGCGAAGGAUCGGCCCGCGUUGGAUUAGGUAGUUGGUGGGGUAAUGGCCUACCAAGCCGACGAUCCAUAGCUGGUUUGAGAGGAUGAUCAGCCACACUGGGACUGAGACACGGCCCAGACUCCUACGGGAGGCAGCAGUGGGGAAUCUUAGACAAUGGGGGAAACCCUGAUCUAGCCAGGCCGCGUGAGCGAUGAAGGCCUUAGGGUUGUAAGGCUCUUUCAGCUGGGAAGAAAUGACGGUACCAGCAGAAGAAGCCCCGGCUAACUCCGUG
RNAcentral lists this ribosomal RNA (432 nucleotides) under uncultured bacterium. RNAcentral's name for it is "partial 16S ribosomal RNA". It matches the Rfam family "Bacterial small subunit ribosomal RNA", at positions 29 to 507 of the family's 1533-position model. The record is from RNAcentral.